Molecule: ribosomal RNA, 274 nt
Filed under: uncultured bacterium
Lineage: Bacteria
Description: partial 16S ribosomal RNA
Rfam family: Bacterial small subunit ribosomal RNA
Source: RNAcentral
AUACGGAGGGUGCAAGCGUUAAUCGGAAUUACUGGGCGUAAAGCGCACGUAGGCGGCUUGUUAAGUCAGAUGUGAAAGCCCCGGGCUCAACCUGGGAACUGCAUUUGAUACUGGCAGGCUAGAGUAUGGUAGAGGCAAGUGGAAUUCCGGGUGUAGCGGUGAAAUGCGUAGAUAUCCGGAGGAACACCAGUGGCGAAGGCGACUUGCUGGACCAAUACUGACGCUGAGGUGCGAAAGCGUGGGGAGCAAAAAGGAGGAGAAAACAGAGGAGUCC